RNAcentral lists this ribosomal RNA (427 nucleotides) under uncultured bacterium. Its description in RNAcentral is "partial 16S ribosomal RNA". It matches the Rfam family "Bacterial small subunit ribosomal RNA", at positions 355 to 774 of the family's 1533-position model. The record is from RNAcentral.
UGGGGAAUAUUGCACAAUGGGCGCAAGCCUGAUGCAGCCAUGCCGCGUGUGUGAAGAAGGCCUUCGGGUUGUAAAGCACUUUCAGCGAGGAGGAAGGGUAGUGUGUUAAUAGCACAUUGCAUUGACGUUACUCGCAGAAGAAGCACCGGCUAACUCCGUGCCAGCAGCCGCGGUAAUACGGAGGGUGCAGGCGUUAAUCGGAAUUACUGGGCGUAAAGCGCACGCAGGCGGUUUGUUAAGUCAGAUGUGAAAUCCCCGCGCUUAACGUGGGAACUGCAUUUGAAACUGGCAAGCUAGAGUCUUGUAGAGGGGGGUAGAAUUCCAGGUGUAGCGGUGAAAUGCGUAGAGAUCUGGAGGAAUACCGGUGGCGAAGGCGGCCCCCUGGACAAAGACUGACGCUCAGGUGCGAAAGCGUGGGGAGCAAACA